Molecule: ribosomal RNA, 827 nt
Filed under: uncultured bacterium
Lineage: Bacteria
Description: bacterial SSU rRNA
Rfam family: Bacterial small subunit ribosomal RNA
Source: RNAcentral
AGAGUUUGAUCAUGGCUCAGAGUGAACGCUGGCGGCGUGCUUAACACAUGCAAGUCGAACGAGAACGGAUUAUAGCUUGCUAUAAUUGUCAGCUAAGUGGCGCACGGGUGAGUAAUGUAUAGAUAACCUGCCCUCUAGAAAGGAAUAACAGUUGGAAACGACUGCUAAUGCCCUAUAUGCCUUUAAUACAUAAGUAUGCAAGGGAAACGCUUUAGUGCUAGAGGAUGGGUCUGUAUGGUAUCAGCUUGUUGGUGAGGUAAUGGCUCACCAAGGCUAUGACGCCUAACCGGUUUGAGAGGAUGAUCAGUCACACUGGAACUGAGACACGGUCCAGACUCCUACGGGAGGCAGCAGUGGGGAAUAUUGCACAAUGGACGAAAGUCUGAUGCAGCAACGCCGCGUGGAGGAUGACACAUUUCGGUGCGUAAACUCCUUUUAUAUAGGAAGAUAAUGACGGUACUAUAUGAAUAAGCACCGACUAACUCCGUGCCAGCAGCCGCGGUAAUACGGAGGGUGCAAGCGUUACUCGGAAUCACUGGGCGUAAAGAGCGUGUAGGCGGGUAUAUAAGUCAGAAGUGAAAUCCAAUAGCUUAACUAUUGAACUGCUUUUGAAACUGUAUACCUAGAAUGUGGGAGAGGUAGAUGGAAUUUCUGGUGUAGGGGUAAAAUCCGUAGAGAUCAGAAGGAAUACCGAUUGCGAAGGCGAUCUACUGGAACAUUAUUGACGCUGAGACGCGAAAGCGUGGGGAGCAAACAGGAUUAGAUACCCUGGUAGUCCACGCCCUAAACGAUGCACACUAGUUGUUGUGAGGCUCGACCUUGCAGUA